CAGCAGCCGCGGUAAUACGUAGGGUGCGAGCGUUAAUCGGAAUUACUGGGCGUAAAGCAUGCGCAGGCGGUUGUGUAAGACAGGUGUGAAAUCCCCGGGCUUAACCUGGGAACUGCGCUUGUGACUGCACAGCUAGAGUAUGGCAGAGGGGGGUGGAAUUCCACGUGUAGCAGUGAAAUGCGUAGAGAUGUGGAGGAACACCGAUGGCGAAGGCAGCCCCCUGGGCCAAUACUGACGCUCAUGCACGAAAGCGUGGGGAGCAAACAGGAUUAGAUACCCGCGUAGUCCCUGUCUCUUAUAC
This 301-nucleotide ribosomal RNA is filed under the name uncultured bacterium. RNAcentral's name for it is "partial 16S ribosomal RNA". It matches the Rfam family "Bacterial small subunit ribosomal RNA", at positions 509 to 807 of the family's 1533-position model. The record is from RNAcentral.